GCUCAGGAUGAACGCUAGCUACAGGCUUAACACAUGCAAGUCGAGGGGUAGCAGGGUAGCAAUACCGCUGACGACCGGCGCACGGGUGAGUAACACGUAUCCAACCUUCCCAUAACUCGGGGAUAGCCUUUCGAAAGAAAGAUUAAUACCCGAUAGUACUUUAUCAAGGCAUCUUCUUAAAGUUAAAGAUUUAUUGGUUAUGGAUGGGGAUGCGUUCCAUUAGAUAGUUGGUGAGGUAACGGCUCACCAAGUCUUCGAUGGAUAGGGGUUCUGAGAGGAAGGUCCCCCACAUUGGUACUGAGACACGGACCAAACUCCUACGGGAGGCAGCAGUGAGGAAUAUUGGUCAAUGGGCGAGAGCCUGAACCAGCCAA
RNAcentral lists this ribosomal RNA (374 nucleotides) under uncultured Bacteroidales bacterium. RNAcentral's name for it is "bacterial SSU rRNA". It matches the Rfam family "Bacterial small subunit ribosomal RNA", at positions 22 to 395 of the family's 1533-position model. The record is from RNAcentral. Lineage: Bacteria; Pseudomonadati; Bacteroidota; Bacteroidia; Bacteroidales.